Molecule: non-coding RNA, 72 nt
Organism: Ciona savignyi (Pacific transparent sea squirt)
Lineage: Eukaryota; Metazoa; Chordata; Ascidiacea; Phlebobranchia; Cionidae
Source: Rfam
GGGGAUGUAGCUCAGUGGUAGAGCACACCCUUCGCAUGUGUGAGGCCCCGGGUUCAAUCCCCGGCAUCUCCA